CCCCAGGCUGCCCUUUCAUGAGUAAUUUCUUUUAACCCGAGGAUCACAGCUGUGAGCCAUAAUGAAAAGAUUUCUUCUGGCCUGAGACUGCAAAGAAGCCGCUGCACCAGCAGAAAAAAAAGUUGGGAAAAACCACAAUUAAAGUCCAUGCCCUACUAGGAGUGAGCAGGGAGAUGCCUGGCUGUACGUAUACCAUCAUCCUCACACCAAAAACCAAGAAAUCUUUAGGUGGGUCUUGUCCUGUGGGUCCUGUAAAGAUGGCAGGGAGAAGAGGGGCUGCCAUGGACACAAGAGGUGAUAACAGAAUGAGAAGAUUGUGUGAUCCAAAGCUUCAAGACAGGAGAAAGGCUCCCUCAUCAGAACUCUGAGGAGAACGCCUCUUUACAGCCUCUCUGUCCUGUCUCAGCGUGAGCAGACAUUAAUGGACUGCAGUGUCAGGAAUGAAGGAUGGUCCUCUCACUUGGGAGCUCAGUCCAGCACUAGGCCUUGCGGGGCGUGGAUGUGUGUGCAUGCGCAUGGGUGCUCAGGAACACAUCUUUCCCACUAGAGCGGCAUUUAAUUAUACCACAGCUUCCGGAGCAGAAGCUGGAAUCCUGGCCAAAGGUUUGUUUUUUUUUUUACAGUAAUUCUCUCAAUCUGUACAUUUACCCUCAAGCUGGAUAACCCCUAAGAUACCAAAAUCUAACAGAAUCUGUAAUGAUGAAACAGAGGUGGCAGGUGUGAGAAAGGGUGAGGUGGAGUGGCAAACACAUUUUUCUAUCCAGAGGUUCAGCCUUAUAAAGGGAUGCUGGCUGUAAAGGGGACUUAGUAUCUGGCAUUUAUUUGAAGCAUUUUGGAUUUAUUGAGUGUCUCUAGUAGAAAAGGCCCAACCAUACUGUGCAACCAAAGAGAUGGAGUGAAAUGAAGGCGUUUCCGCCAGAGAGAGUGGAAAAGAUCCAUGAAGGUGAUAGAAGAAAGUGGAAAAGCCUGGAAGGGAGCACCUUUGACAGGAUAUGGGAAGCAAACUGGAUCUUCAGAGCCAGGGAAGGAGGAAGGGCUGCGAGUAAGAUG
Long non-coding RNA from Bos indicus x Bos taurus (hybrid cattle), 1050 nucleotides. Lineage: Eukaryota; Metazoa; Chordata; Mammalia; Artiodactyla; Bovidae. The record is from Ensembl.